AUACGGAGGGUGCAAGCGUUAUCCGGAUUUACUGGGUUUAAAGGGUGCGCAGGCGGUAAUUUAAGUCAGUGGUGAAAGCCUACAGCUCAACUGUAGAACUGCCAUUGAAACUGAAUUACUUGAGUGUGGUAGAGGUAGGCGGAAUACAACAUGUAGCGGUGAAAUGCAUAGAUAUGUUGUAGAACACCGAUUGCGAAGGCAGCUUACUAAACCAUUACUGACGCUCAGGCACGAAAGCGUGGGGAGCGAACAGGAUUAGAAACCCGAGUAGUCC
Molecule: ribosomal RNA, 274 nt
Filed under: uncultured bacterium
Lineage: Bacteria
Description: partial 16S ribosomal RNA
Rfam family: Bacterial small subunit ribosomal RNA
Source: RNAcentral